This 1292-nucleotide long non-coding RNA is filed under the name Homo sapiens (human). Its description in RNAcentral is "HSALNT0140773". The record is from RNAcentral. Lineage: Eukaryota; Metazoa; Chordata; Mammalia; Primates; Hominidae.
UAGGCUUUAAAAUUAAGAAUGCAGAUUGUGGCUCCAUGAUAUGCUAGGUGCCAAAUUAGAUUAAAAAUAAAAUCCCCAAACCACACCCUGGGACCUUUGUGUGAAUGGAUGUUGUUAGGGGCCCUGUUGUCCCUAGGGUCCCACCACUCAAGGACAGGGACUGGUCACUGAGCCCUCUAUUUCCCAGACAAAAUACAGCACCUGGUACACAAUACACUUGGUACGCAAAUUCAAUGCAAUUGGAACAUCACAUGCAAUUGGAACAUCCAUGGUGGCCAGGCCACAUCCCUUGUAAUCAUAGAAACACAGAAAACCGGGCAGAAUCAUAGGGAUGGUCCAUCCAACAUUCCAUUCAGUGGGAUCCAACUCAAGAUAGAAUAAGUGUGGUAAGAGAGAUGUGGGAGACAGUUGUAGAAAUACACUGUGACUUGAAGCUGGAAUUCUUUGAUGCUCAAGUCAAGAGCCUUCUUGGCAAGAGAUCUGAUCAAGUUUUCACUCUGCAAGGAAAUGUCUUCCCAGCAUUCUGCCAGCACUUUUUCUGAAGGUGAGCUCAGGCCUUUAUAUCCCUCCCUUUGGCUCCCACAAUGCCAGUAACCAUGACAGGUGGCACCUGGCCAUGGCAAUGGUCUAAUUUUCUAGAAAAGCCAAUCUGGAAAGCUUACCAUGCUUAAAGGAGCACUGACAGAUAAGCAGCCUUCAGGAUGCCACUUCCUAAAAUCCAUCUCUAACGAGGCAUAGCUAACAAAAUGUGUAUGGUGAUUAUUUAUUCCGCCAGAGUCCCAGGGUGAUGGAAUCAGUUGCAUGUGAAAUUUGCUUUGACAAACCAUCCCUGGCUAUGUAAGUCCUCUGCUGUGCUCCAGACUGGGAGAUUCUGCUAUCGAUUGAAGCUUCUCAUCAACUCUUCCUGCAAGUGGCAAGAAAUAGAUUGAAGUCCUUGUCAGGCUUUCAGUCAUGCACUGUUUCCUGGGACUGCAGUUAGAAAAACAAGUCACCGAAUAGUGGGACACUUAAAGGGCUACAAGAUACAGGGCAAAAUGCCAUUGCUUCCCAGAUGAGAAGGCAGGCGCAGCUCCUUUGAGGAAUGUGUGGGGAGGCAUGGAUGUCAAAGUGCCAGUCGUAGUGAUUCCGGGGUCUCAGAGAACACUGUCAGAUCAGGGCUUUGUCUCUCAGCAUGUGUCCCAGUUUCUUCAGUUUCAAAAGCUGCCCAUUUUCUCUGAAUGGUGGCCCAGCACCUGGAGGGACAGAGUACAAAGGACUCUGGCAUGUUGAAUUCCUCAAGCAACCUGCUGGUA